This 49-nucleotide ribosomal RNA is filed under the name Fuscoporia gilva. RNAcentral describes it as "partial 28S ribosomal RNA". RNAcentral also lists the same sequence under 1 other name. Lineage: Eukaryota; Fungi; Basidiomycota; Agaricomycetes; Hymenochaetales; Hymenochaetaceae. The record is from RNAcentral.
AAUCAGGUAGGAUUACCCGCCGAACUUAAGCAUAUCAAUAAGCGGAGGA